CAAGGUGUGCGCACGAGGCGCCCGCUGGCAAUGGCGGGGGAGGGGGCAACGUAUGCGCACAAGGCCCCUGCGGGCAAUGGCGGGGAGGGGUGAAAGUGUUCGCGCGAGGCACCUGCUGGCAAUGGCGGGGAGGGGGCAACGUAUGCGCACAAGGCACCUGCUGGCAAUGCCGGGGAGGGGUGGAGGUGUGUGCCCGAGGCGCCUGCUGGCAAUGGCGGCCGAGGGGGCAAUGUACGGGCACGAGGCACCUGCUGGCAACUGCGGGACAGGGGGCGCGGUGGUAGGGUGGGGGGCAGUGCAGUUAUAGGUACUGGAUGAGAUGCCAGCACAAAAGACCCGGAACCCUAACGAACUGGCAUGGCAAGACACGGGCACAAGGCACCUGCUGACAACCGUGGGAAAAUGGAGGGACUGGCGCACCAGGCGCCUGCUGGCAACCGUGGGAAAAUGGAGGGGCCGGCGCACAAGGCACCUGCUGGCAAACGCGGGAAACUGGAGGGGCCGGGGCGGGGCGCGCGAAAUAGAUACUGGAGGGAGAGGCACGCGCACAAAGCACGCGAGACAUUAACGGUUCGGUGCGGCAAGGCAUGCGCACAAGGCAUCUGCUGGCAAUGGCGGGGAGGGGUCAAGGUGUGCGCACGAGGCGCCCGCUCGCAAUGGCGGGGGAUGGGGCAACGUAUGCGCACAAGGCCCCUGCGGGCAAUGGCGGGGAGGGGUCAAAGUGUGCGCGCGAGGCACCUGCUGGCAAUGGCGGGGGAGGGGGCAACGUAUGCGCACAAGGCACCUGCGGGCAAUGGCGGGGAGGGGUGAAGGUGUGUGCGCGAGGCGCCUGCUGGCAAUGGCGGCGGACGGGGCGAUGUACGGGCACGAGGCACCUGCUGGCAACUGCGGGACAG
Molecule: long non-coding RNA, 896 nt
Filed under: Aotus nancymaae (Ma's night monkey)
Lineage: Eukaryota; Metazoa; Chordata; Mammalia; Primates; Aotidae
Description: lncRNA (ENSANAG00000038822.1)
Source: RNAcentral